AUGAGUGUAGAAAAUAUAAACCCGAAUUUGAAGAAGCAUAUGCAAAGUAUCCUAAUAAGAAAAUCAGAUAUACCUCUUUACAACCGAAAUAACAUUAUUGACAUAAUAAUAGGAGUGUUAGAUAAAUACACCAAUACAAACACAAACGACAUAAAUGUUGAAAAUGUUAUAAAAAAUUUAAAAGAAACUUUAGAUAAAACGUUUGGUAGUGGUUGGGUAUGUUUAAUAGGGGAAUCAUUUUCUUUUAAUAUUUCAGCAAAACAAAAUUCCUUUUUGUUCUGCUUUUACCAAGGAUACUUAGCCAUAGUUGUGUAUAAAUGCUAGUGUUAGUACAAAGUAAAACGAAAAAAGAGCACAAAUAUGUUGAUGAAGUAAAUAUAUAAAAAAAAAAAAAUAAAAUAAAAAAAGUGUAUAAAAAAAGUGCA
This is a long non-coding RNA of Piliocolobus tephrosceles (Ugandan red Colobus), 425 nucleotides long. The record is from Ensembl. NCBI's taxonomy places the organism in Eukaryota, Metazoa, Chordata, Mammalia, Primates, Cercopithecidae.